RNAcentral lists this microRNA (22 nucleotides) under Medicago truncatula (barrel medic). Its description in RNAcentral is "mtr-miR2590a". The record is from miRBase by way of RNAcentral. Lineage: Eukaryota; Viridiplantae; Streptophyta; Magnoliopsida; Fabales; Fabaceae.
AUCUAAAGGUGAUUAUUGUGCC